This 446-nucleotide ribosomal RNA is filed under the name uncultured bacterium. Its description in RNAcentral is "bacterial SSU rRNA". It matches the Rfam family "Bacterial small subunit ribosomal RNA", at positions 329 to 792 of the family's 1533-position model. The record is from RNAcentral.
UUCCAGACUCCUACGGGAGGCAGCAGUGGGGAAUAUUGCACAAUGGGGGAAACCCUGAUGCAGCAACGCCGCGUGAGUGAAGAAGUAUUUCGGUAUGUAAAGCUCUAUCAGCAGGGAAGAAAAUGACGGUACCUGAGUAAGAAGCCCCGGCUAACUACGUGCCAGCAGCCGCGGUAAUACGUAGGGGGCAAGCGUUAUCCGGAUUUACUGGGUGUAAGGGGAGCGUAGACGGCGAUACAAGUCUGAAGUGAAAGCCCGGGGCUCAACCCCGGGACUGCUUUGGAAACUGUGUUGCUGGAGUGCUGGAGAGGCAAGCGGAAUUCCUAGUGUAGCGGUGAAAUGCGUAGAUAUUAGGAGGAACACCAGUGGCGAAGGCGGCCUACUGGACGGUGACUGACGCUGAGGCUCGAAAGCGUGGGGAGCAAACAGGAUUAGAUACCCCCGUA